AACACCUCAACUCCUUUAUUGUAGUUGGACUUGAGCUAUCCCAACAGGACUUUUUGUUCCUGGCGGGAGGCUUGAAAUGCAGGUGCAGCUGGACUUUCUUCUGAGCUAUAAGCAUAUUUAUUUAAUCCCUUAACACGGAUUAUUACUUUUUUGCUGCAGCUAACAUAAAGGUUGAAUUUCCAUUGAGCUGACUGAUGCAGGAAUUUGGCAAGGAAUUUUUUUAAUGACUUGUUAA
RNAcentral lists this unclassified non-coding RNA (235 nucleotides) under Mortierella sp. Its description in RNAcentral is "partial internal transcribed spacer 2". RNAcentral also lists the same sequence under 1 other name. The record is from RNAcentral. Lineage: Eukaryota; Fungi; Mortierellomycota; Mortierellomycetes; Mortierellales; Mortierellaceae.